Molecule: long non-coding RNA, 2567 nt
Organism: Centrocercus urophasianus (Greater sage-grouse)
Lineage: Eukaryota; Metazoa; Chordata; Aves; Galliformes; Phasianidae
Exons: 2
Source: RefSeq, a predicted model, not a curated record
GGGCGCCCAGCGCGUCUGUGGUGCCCCCCAGGGGCUCCUCCCCCAGGCACCAGCGCGGCCGUAAGCUCGGAAAGAUCGCGUCUGGGGGAGUAAAAGUGAUUUUUCACACCUCGGCUCCGACCGCUAUUGAAACGUGUCCGAGAUGCUAACGUCUUCUCGCGAAGAAAUUGAACGUGUUAAGAAAACAGGCAGAUUUGCCUCCAGAUUUCCUCACUGAAGAAUCACACUUCUGGGAUCUUCAGAGAAAGGCACGUGACAUUUGUGCUCCUGUGCUACUUCUGAGUCAACCUCUUCCACUUCCCAAUGAAUAAUUCAGUGCUAAUCCUAAGAUUUGGUGUGCUUACGCAUCUGAAGGUUCUUUUUUUAAACCUGGAGACAGUGCAUGCAAUGGCACAUCUGAGUGAUUUUGGUCCCCAGCAUCUUACUGUGGUGUUGGCUUCAGCUCUUCAUUCUGUUAUUCAGAGAAGGAAAAAAAAAAAAAAAAAAAAGAAACCUAAGCAAAGUACAUUGUUUGCAACACCUAUUUUUCCAUUUUGUAGUCUCUGAGUAUGCACUGGAAGAAACUCUCCCUUCUUUGGGCUGAAUGGAAUUACUGAUUCUCCAAGAACAAGACAAGGAUACAAAGAGCAGUGUAGGAACACCUCAGGAUUCUCUGGAGUUGCUUUGUGUAUUACUCAGUGCCAAAGUUACAGUGGACACAGCAGAGGUGAAUGGGAGGUGCUGCUCUGUGAUCCCAGAAGUUAAGCAGGGCUGUACAACGCACAUCCACCCAGCACACACCAUAGAAGCACUUCUGCUAUGACUUGCUAGUAGCAGGUGUCAACCACGUACAAAGAGAGUAAAUUACAUCCAGAAUAACUGAAAUUCUGACAGCCACGAUUUCCCAUUUAUUACCCCAUCUCAUGGAAAGUUCUGCUUUUGGAAGAAAAUCAGAACAUUAACAAGUGUGCAGAAAUACAUCCUCAGCUGCAGGAAAUUCCAGGUCCCAGGCUUUUUUAUUUUGAAAGAAACAUUGGAAUGAUGUCUUCAAAUACCACUUUCUGAUCUGUGUGCAGGAGAAAAGCCGCAUGCCAGAGGCAGCAGUAAAUACUGAGGCUUUGCCAGCUCCGUAUCACGCAGGUGAACAAAUCUCUAAAGCAUGUUCUUGUGUACAGAGUGCUGGCAGACCCUGGGUGGCUCUACAUGCCCUGAUCUGUUUGGCUCUAACACACAACGAUCCAAAAAAGUCCCGAUGCUGAGAAUGGUGCUCCUAAUCCUCGCCGCCAGGCACCUUACCCACUGCUUCUCCCUUUGUGCAACCAGCAGAGCGUUUGCAAAAUGACCGACGCGUCUGUUGUGGAGACUUGACAGGUUAGACAGCAAUUGUGCAGCAACAGUAAUUAGAGGCCUACUUGUAAAAUACGUACGUGCAGCUAUAAGGAUGUUAGAAGGAAUGUCUGUGAAUUAAGCUAUCGUGACCAGAAAUAAGGAAAAACAAUGCAGGGCUGAUUUCACUGGUAACAAUUACCUAUGAAAAGGAUAGGAAGGGAAAAUGGGAGCACAUUCCGGGCAGAGUUGCCCGAAGAUAGGAGUAAUGACGGAUGCAGCACUCUGCAGUCUACUGAUCAUUCCCUAUUGUUCUCAGAUUGGUACAAACACAAAGCAAGGCCAAGCUGGUUUGUCAUCAGUGUCAUUAUAUCCUGUGUCAAAAAGGCACCUUUUCCAUUGAGAUUCUUCUGUUCUGCAUCCAGUUGGAUUAUUUAGCUGCAAGAACAGGGGACAAAUCCUUAAGGUAUGAGCGUUUUUCUUAUUCAUUUAUAUAUGCUAAUUGAAUUAAAUACAUUUUUUUAGCUGAUUUACUGCGACGACUUUCUUUCUAUAUUGACAUUAAAUUGAAAUGACAACUCCAAGACCAACAACAGAAUUAGAAGUGAAGACAAAAAUUCAACUUGGAACAUUAGAGACAUCCAGAGACAUGAACAAGAAUUUUGCUGGAUUUCCAGCAGAAAUAAGGAAUAUCAAGGGAAAAUUCAUCCAUACACGUUAUUGUGGAACAUCCAAGACAUCCAGAGACAUGAACAAGGAUUUCACUGCAAUUCCAGGAGCACAAUUUGAUUUUCUGUCAUAUUUAAGAGGCAUAGCUCAAGAGUUUUAGUAUGUCCACAUCCCAUCAUUGCUUGGCAUGUUCAAAAUAGGCCUUCAGUACCAGUAUUUGGAAUGCUACUAGCUCCAAAAAAAAAACCCCUUUUAACGUAUUCACUAUUAAAACUGCUUCAUCACCUUUUAGAAAGGAAAACUCUCGCUCUCUGCCCUUGUAUGUCCUUUGCUGAAAGAUUCAAAUCAAUAAGGUAGGAAACCAUACUUACAUGUCCUAAUCUCUCUUCCUCUUUCUUGCAAGCUAAAUGCAGAGCCUGUUUGGCAUGAGAGCACACACAAGCAGGAAUGCGGGCUGGUGGUGACGUUUCCAGAUCUGUGUGUUGCUUGCAACAGCUCACGGGUGGAUUUCUGGAUCGCAGCGUUUGUUUCUCAAAAGACAAUUUCAGAUAUUUAGAAUCACACUCAAUAAACAUUUGGAAUGUGGUACGUUU